This 449-nucleotide ribosomal RNA is filed under the name uncultured bacterium. RNAcentral's name for it is "partial 16S ribosomal RNA". It matches the Rfam family "Bacterial small subunit ribosomal RNA", at positions 29 to 523 of the family's 1533-position model. The record is from RNAcentral.
AGCGAACGCUGGCGGCAGGCCUAACACAUGCAAGUCGAACGGGCUCUUCGGAGCUAGUGGCGGACGGGUGAGUAACACGUGGGAACGUGCCUUUAGGUUCGGAAUAAGCCCGGGAAACUGGGUCUAAUACCGAAUGUGCCCUUCGGGGGAAAGAUUUAUCGCCUUUAGAGCGGCCCGCGUCUGAUUAGCUAGUUGGUGAGGUAAUGGCUCACCAAGGCGAAGAUCAGUAGCUGGUCUGAGAGGAUGACCAGCCACAUUGGGACUGAGACACGGCCCAAGCUCCUACGGGAGGCAGCAGUGGGGAAUCUUGCGCAAUGGGCGAAAGCCUGACGCAGCCAUGCCGCGUGGAUGAUGAAGGUCUUAGGAUUGUAAAAUCCUUUCACCGGUGAAGAUAAUGACUGUAGCCGGAGAAGGAGCCCCGGCUAACUUCGUGCCAGCAGCCGCCGUAA